UAAUUAUUAGGUUUGCCUUCCUUGCUUUCCCCCUUCCCCUUCCCAACUUCUCUUGAAGCUACCUAGGCUGCAUCUAUUAUUUGAAUGACUCGUACGAAGGAGAUGCUAUUUACCGGGCAAAAGCCGGGGAGUUCGUGCCCUCUACCCCCGCGAGGAAAACUACAACCCCCAUGAGGACACGGGCGAGGUUGAGGCCGGGCUCCGCCUCCUUCUCCCUGGCGCUCGGUGGACGCCUUCUCAGUGCCACGUGGCGCGGGAGCCUAGCUGAUCGCGUGCAUGACGAGGGCCAGCGUGGCUGGCUGCUUGGCCCGCAGACCUGGGCAGCGGGAAACGCGUACUUGAGAGCGCAUGGCUUCAAGCUUCUCCCUUGCGCUCAUGAUCUUAGGCUGGUCGCUUUUUCUUUUAGGCGGAACACAGUUCACACUGGGCGCCUCCAACUCUCUGGAAUUCUAGGCAACAGAUUAACACUUUGUGAAUCUCGAAGAGCUGCACUCCUGCUAAAUAUUGGAGUUAAUGCUGAUCCUUUGGAAGUCUCUGAAGGUUGCAAGAUUGUGCUGGGAGCCUCUGGCUUCAUUUGCCCUUCUCACACCUUAUUUUAAUACAAGGUCGAGCACACUGAACUACCUGGAGUAAAGGGGCAUCAUGUCUGAAACUGAUGCUUAAGUGGCUCAGAAAAAAAAUUCUGGGAGCUAGAGGGAGAGAGAGACAGAGGAGUGUGGUAAAAAGUUAUCAUUUGGGGGGUCUGCGUAAAAGGUAUAUGAGGAUUCUUUGUACGGAUUUUGCAACUUUUCUCCCAGUCUGAAAUUAUGUCAAAAUAUAAAAUUAAAAGGCAAAAUUAAAAGAAUGAGUGAGAGUUUACUAGGUAGAGAAGCAGAAGGAUCUUCUGGUAAAGGAACAGGAUAAGCAAAAGCAUCACAAGUGUGCGAGUCUUCUGUGUUGACAAACAAGCCCUGACUCUGAAUAUCCAGGACUAGCAUGGUGUGGGGAGACGGGGAUUAGAGGGAUAACGAGCAGCAUAACCCACAAAUGGACACAUUUCCCUGCUACCUAAGAUUAGAAGUAAAGACUUUAGGCCUACAUUAUACCCAGCCUCAAGAGUUGCAAGACAUAACAUGAGUUCUCAUGGCGGCUCAGUCUUUGCAUUGGCAGUGUCUCUUCAUCCAGUGACUGUGUGGAACAAUGGAAACCCGAGAAUCAUGGCUGAAAGGGACAUCUAGUCCAACUCUCUCAUUUUGCAGAAGGGACAACUAAGAUGCAAAAUGAAGAAGAGAUUUGCAAGGUCCCAGCAAAGUUCUUCAAAUUGCAAGAUGAUGGAGAGAGCACACAAUUUUCAACCAGGCUAUGAAAUCGUUCUUGAAAAUGUGGACAUUCAUAGAGAUGGCUUUUAAUUUUUCUUGGAGACUGCCUUUCCUUAUGAAAUAAUGAAAUUUAAAAAUAUGUAUUAUAAAUUAAACUAUAUACUUACUAUUCUCAUUAUAAUAAAAUCCUAGGGAUAAGGAA
RNAcentral lists this long non-coding RNA (1500 nucleotides) under Homo sapiens (human). RNAcentral's name for it is "uncharacterized LOC105376034 (LOC105376034)". Lineage: Eukaryota; Metazoa; Chordata; Mammalia; Primates; Hominidae. The record is from RNAcentral.